AAAAACCAACAAAACAAACAAAAACAAAGGAAGGCCCAGGCUAUGUGGCAGGGUGGACCCAAGACUGUUACUUGCUGUAUGUGGACACCUGAAGGCCCCCGGAACCGGAUGUCCUCAUCAUAGGAACUAGAUGUUCUGAUCUUACACAAUUGUUUCAGCCCCCUCCCCACACAGGCCGACUGCCCUCAGUGUCUGGCUCCUUAAGCCUGCUUCCAUUGUAGCUAUUAGCGAGGGUUUUGCCUCUCAUUGCCUGCCAGCGUAUUAUGAGCAUCUCAUUAACUCAAGGCUCCAGUACCCUUUAGGGACCAGACCUUCACAGACGUAAUGGCCUUCUGCCUGGGGUUUGAGUUUGCUGUUACUCUUUCUACCUCUGCUGAGGAAUGUCAGCCCCUGGAUUUCUAAUAAGUUCACAAAUUGCUCUAUGAAAUUGAGGUGAGAAAAAUGUCACAUUCUUUUUUUUUUUUAAUUUUUAAAAAUCAAAUCUGGCUCUGAGCCCCCGCUUACCAUUCUCAGCAGAAGUCCGACUCCAGUCAUUGUGAAUUCCUCACGGGCCGCGGAUGGGGGUUUUGGGGAGAGGCCUCCCCUUCAUCGGGUUGCACCAACACCCUGCUGCUGAAGCAGGUCAGGAGAGCGGGGUGAGCACUACAUCAUCAGGGCAUCCUGAUCACUCUGUCCCCGUGCUCCUUCUGCGACACAGCGAAGGCUCUAAACACUGUCUGGUGCUGUCCUCAGGCCCUGUGCUCCACACGCAGAGUCCUUUCCAGUGUGACCAGGCUUUGUUCCGGGGACCUCCAAGCCUCAGUGUCCAUCCACCACAGGCAUCCCUCACAGCUGCCCGACACGAGGGCCUGCCUGCGUGGGCACUGUGAGCUAGAUGCCGUGGAGCUCCUGUGCACGCUACAGCCCUUGUCUCUUCCCAGCUUUGGGGGAUCCAACACCAGGUUGGGCAGUUCUCUCCUCUUUCCUCCCAACGCCAAAGCCUCUUUUCCUUUCUGCCACUGGGAGAGCAAAGCCUCCUUCCCUGGAUCUAUACCUUUCAAAACAAUAGGCUGCUGGAGGGAGUAUCUGAGUGAAGAUAAGUUUUCUCUCUCCCCUCCCCUCUCUUAUUCUCCCCCUUUUUUUUUCUUCUGCCCUGAAACAAGAAGUUUGUUAACCAGACCUCUGAGGAUAAAAGAGAGCCUGGACUCAAGAGCAAUCCCCAAGUAACCCUACAGGGUGGCAGUGGGAAUCUUUUAUCCUAAUUUGGGAUGGGGGGUUGGCAUCAAUUACUUUCACAAUAACUUACCCUGUUUGGAUUCAGAGAACUGGAUAUAACUUGAGAGAGCUUCCAUCCCAACCAUCUCAUUUUUCAAAGGAGCCAGAGGAGCAAAGGGAGCAGGCCCAAGAGAAGAGAGUGGGGAUGCCUAGUUCAUGUCUGAGCCAGGACCAGCAUCCAGGUCUCGACUACCAUUCCCAGGGUCCUGCAUUUGGGAGCCCCCAUGUGAAUCACGCUGUUAGACUGCCAAGUAGAGGGAUAGAAGGGAAGGUCCUGCCUUAAGAGACAUGACUGUUGCAUGGAAAGAACAGGGCAACACACAUGAAUCCACUAUGGAGUAUCGUAAGCCAGGGUACCACUGAAAUCUCACUGAGUGGUUUCUGAGGAACUCAGAAAAAUGAAUAAUGAUUGUAGACUAUCGUUAGUCAAAUACAACUUAAUUGGGAAAAUGGAACUGGACCAUGGUCUUGAGAAACAAGUGGAGCUACAGAAUCAAUGUGAGGGCUGAGAUGAAGGUAUGCAUUUUGUCAACCUCCACAGGCAGUCAGCAGAUACAUGGGAUCUUUGAACCCUCUAGAAUUACAUGCAUACAGCAUGGGUGAUUGGAGGUGAUGGUGUAUAAGUGCAUUAUAUGAAAUCAGGUCUGAGGUUUUCAUUAGGUUCUCAAUAUAUCUUGCUCUUCCUCUUCCAGGAGUAUAGUAGGAUUGCAUUUCUGAGCCUGUAUUGGUCCAUUUUCACACUGCUGAUAAAGACAUACCCAAGACUGAGUAGUUUAUAAGGAAAAAGAGGUUUAAUGGACUCACAGUUCCACGUGGCUGGGGAGGCCUCACAAUCAUGGUGGAAGGCAGAAGGCAUGUCUUAGAUGGCAGCAGAGCUCAGUGCCCCCUCUGUCACAAUGACCAGCAAUGUUCCAGAUAGUGACCACUCACUCAGCUAGGGUUCCAGAGGGAGGAAGAUGCAGACCAGAGCCCCAGCUGACCUGCAGUGGACACAUGAGGAGUGCUGGGAGAGUCUCCAGAGCACAUUACAUAAUAUUACCAAGACUUUUCCUGGGUCUGGGCUGUGCCUGUUGCUGCCUCUGGGGUAAGUCAGACUAAUACAGGAAAACUUAUUUCUCUUUCUUUUUAAUUUAUUUUUCUUUAAUUUCCUGCCUCAACCAUCACAACAAGCAACCCUGGAUCCCCCUAGUUUAUUUGUGUCUUUUGCUUUAUCCACCUUUUUCCUUUAUUUGAACUCCUAUAGUAUUAGUGAGCUCAAAUACAUAGGUCUUAAUUCAGUGUCUCUGAGUAUUCAUAGGAAAGCCUCUAUGUAAAUCCAACAAACAGAAUAAAACUAUAAUAGUUAACUAUGUAUAAUAUUAUAAUAUUAUAGAUAGAUAUAAAUCUGCUAUCCAUAAUAAUUAGCUGUUAUCGAAGCUUAAAACCCCCUACAAGAUGCCACACAUCCCUGCUCCAAAAUCCUGAUGUCUAAUUAUCUCACUGGACCAGUCCCUUUUUCCUUAGGAACUUUCUAUUUCAGUAUCAUUUAUUACCCAUCCUCAGCAGUAAGUGUUUACCUUCUAACAAUAAAGGCCCAAUCACCAAAACAUGAAAAAGAUUCAGGAAAAGAAUAUAUUUUUCUACCCUCCUCCCCAACAGCUUAGAGUUCCUUGUAUUUCUCUGAUAUCCCAAUGGAUGUAAAUGCUAAUGGUUUUGAAUGAGAUUUGAAGUUGCAAUCUUAAAAUGAGGAAACAUAACACUUAAAUGCUGUUAGCUCGCUUUAAGAGACUAAUAAAGCACAAGGUACUAGCCUCUUGGCAGUUAAAGAGCAAUUCAUCAUCUAUGAUAACAGCAAACAUUAAAGUGUUUUCAUAGGGGAUAUAGAAAUUCUUGCAUCUUGCAGUUGUAUUAACCGUCAUCGUUUUCUUGUAUUUUCAUUUCCAUAUUUCCUGGAUGCCCCUGAGGUGCUUACACACUGUUCCAGACCCUACAGAGUUCAGAAGGGAAGUAAGAGUAGUUACACCAUUCGCCCCACAUCCCACCCUCCAUCGAGGACUGAUCUAGGGCAAUUUGACAUUCCUGCUGUCCAAAUUCCUGCAGUAAACAUCAGUAGCCUUCUGCCAUAAGCAGAGAUGGAAGCAAUGUGGCUCCUCCUCACAACUUGGCUAGCAGGUAGUAUGCUACAAAAUAAGCAGUCCACAGACAACAUUCAUUAGCAAGCGAGCACAAACAUCGUCUUCCAGCCUGCUCAGGAAGCACUCUCUGUCCCUAUUCUCUGUCCAGCACCUUAUUGGAAAGUUUCCUCUGAGGCAAGCACAACGAUGUUCUGUCAGCAGGAUCAGACCCACCUUCUAGUUUUAUCUAGAGACAGAGUUCUGCAUGCGUUCUGGGUGCUUGAGGACCCAGAGUGCUGUUUCAUAGCCGUCAGGUACUAGGUUUACUUAUUUUUUUAAUUCAUUCACAAAAAGUUGCUAAAGCCCAUAAAGUCUUACCAGCCCACCACGUCUUGAACAAUUUUAGCACUCAUUUCUUACCCCUUUUAUGCUGAUUAACCAACCCUCCAGUACUAUUCCUGUUUAGAUGGCAGUCCUUGAAAACUUUGCCACAGCCACUUCUGGGAAGUGUGUUCUGGAAGGAGGCGCCUGAGUCUGGUCUUUAAGGAUGUCAUUUCUCAGGGAGCUGCCCAGUUUGGGCUAUCCUGUCCCUCCUUAAUAAAUGCCGUGCCCUUCAGAUGCAGUGUCAGUUCCUCUGGUCCUCCACAAUAGGACAUCUACUAACCAUGACUUUCCUAGUUAUGGGCAUGAGUUUGCACUGAGCCAUCCACAUGUCCUUGGAAACUUCAAUGCAAAUUUUCAAGGCAGGACCCAGGGUGCAGUCCUAGCCUGCCUCAGAGCACAAGGGAUGCUAAACACAUUCACCAGAAAUACCCUCUUGCCCGCAAAACCUAACCCCUGAUGCUAGUCCAAACAGGCUCCCUCUCCAAGGAUACAGAGCCUUGGACUCUGAUCACGCCAAGAUCUAGAGUCCAUCCAGCUUAUGCUGUUAAUAGCUGGGGCCAUGCUACCAGACCAUAGCUUAUUAACAAUGUAUAGCUGCAGCCCCUGACUUAGUUCAGCUAUAAACAUUCCUCACCUGCAUGAUUAGCUCCUUUCUUACUGAUUAGAAAGCGUCAUCCUGCCACAAAGCCUACCCUUUCUGAAUGAAUGGCUCUUCUACAGGCAGCCAAGUUCUCUAAAACACAUCUCAAACCCAAAUAAAAAAGAAUCUACAACAGAAACAAAAUUCCACUAUUUUCUUUAUGGAAUGAGAAAAAAAAGAGCUUCAGAAGGUUUUUAAAAGUUCAGCUCCAUGCUUACUGAAAGGACUAAAAGUAGUUGUGACUACAACUGGGGACUUGGAGAGAGAAGGUUGGAGAAUAAUUCAGUGGCCAGUAGGAGAUAUUAAUAAGUAUAUAUUUUUUUAUCUUGACGGAUCUGGUGUAACCACUAAGGAGUUUUAAGCAAGUAAGUAGUAUUGGGUUUUGACUUUACAGAUAUCACCCUGGAAGAUGGAUAAUGGAUUGGAAGGCAGAUGGCAGGAAGACUAGUCAGUGGUCAAGGAGAAUGACAGUAGUGGCUUCAACUAGGGUGGUAGUAAUACAGAUGGAGGGAGGUGGACAGAUUCAGGAAAUACUUAAAAACACAAUGGCCAGGUGCAGUGUCUCAUGCCCAUAAUCCCAUUCCUUUGGGAGGCUAAGACAGGAUUGCUUGAGCCCAGCAGUUCUAGACCAGCCCAGGCAACGUAGCAAG
This is a long non-coding RNA of Macaca mulatta (Rhesus monkey), 5021 nucleotides long. RefSeq lists it as uncharacterized. The record is from RefSeq and is a predicted model, not a curated record. Lineage: Eukaryota; Metazoa; Chordata; Mammalia; Primates; Cercopithecidae.